GAUGAACGCUGGCGGCGUGCCUAAUACAUGCCAGUCGAGCGAACGGACGAGAAGCUUGCUUCUCUGAUGUUAGCGGCGGACGGGUGAGUAACACGUGGAUAACCUACCUAUAAGACUGGGAUAACUUCGGGAAACCGGAGCUAAUACCGGAUAAUAUUUUGAACCGCAUGGUUCAAAAGUGAAAGACGGUCUUGCUGUCACUUAUAGAUGGAUCCGCGCUGCAUUAGCUAGUUGGUAAGGUAACGGCUUACCAAGGCAACGAUGCAUAGCCGACCUGAGAGGGUGAUCGGCCACACUGGAACUGAGACACGGUCCAGACUCCUACGGGAGGCAGCAGUAGGGAAUCUUCCGCAAUGGGCGAAAGCCUGACGGAGCAACACCGCGUGAGUGAUGAAGGUCUUCGGAUCGUAAAACUCUGUUAUUAGGGAAGAACAUAUGUGUAAGUAACUGUGCACAUCUUGACGGUACCUAAUCAGAAAGCCACGGCUAACUACGUG
Molecule: ribosomal RNA, 497 nt
Filed under: uncultured bacterium
Lineage: Bacteria
Description: partial 16S ribosomal RNA
Rfam family: Bacterial small subunit ribosomal RNA
Source: RNAcentral